CCUACGGGAGGCAGCAGUGGGGAAUAUUGCGCAAUGGGCGAAAGCCUGACGCAGCGACGCCGCGUGAGGGAUGAAGGUCUUCGGAUCGUAAACCUCGGUCAGCAGGGAAGAACGGUCACUGUGCUAAUCAGCAGUGAAUUGACGGUACCUGCAAAGGAAGCACCGGCUAACUCCGUGCCAGCAGCCGCGGUAAUACGGAGGGUGCGAGCGUUAAUCGGAAUUACUGGGAGUAAAGCGCUCGUAGGCGGUAUGUCAAGUCAAGGGGGAAAUCCCCGCGCUCAACGUGGGAACUGCCUUUGAAACUGGCGAACUGGAGUGGGUGAGAGGAUAGUGGAAUUCCAGGUGUAGGAGUGAAAUCCGUAGAUAUCGGGAGGAACAUCAGUGGCGAAGGCGACUAUCUGGCACAUAACUGACGCUGAGGAGCGAAAGCGUGGGUAGCAAACAGGAUUAGAUACCCGGGUAGUC
This 465-nucleotide ribosomal RNA is filed under the name uncultured bacterium. RNAcentral's name for it is "partial 16S ribosomal RNA". It matches the Rfam family "Bacterial small subunit ribosomal RNA", at positions 338 to 795 of the family's 1533-position model. The record is from RNAcentral.